This 497-nucleotide ribosomal RNA is filed under the name uncultured bacterium. RNAcentral's name for it is "partial 16S ribosomal RNA". It matches the Rfam family "Bacterial small subunit ribosomal RNA", at positions 28 to 507 of the family's 1533-position model. The record is from RNAcentral.
GAUGAACGCUGGCGGCGUGCCUAAUACAUGCCAGUCGAGCGAACGGACGAGAAGCUUGCUUCUCUGAUGUUAGCGGCGGACGGGUGAGUAACACGUGGAUAACCUACCUAUAAGACUGGGAUAACUUCGGGAAACCGGAGCUAAUACCGGAUAAUAUUUUGAACCGCAUGGUUAAAAAGUGAAAGACGGUCUUGCUGUCACUUAUAGAUGGAUCCGCGCUGCAUUAGCUAGUUGGUAAGGUAACGGCUUACCAAGGCAACGAGGCAUAGCCGACCUGAGAGGGUGAUCGGCCACACUGGAACUGCGACACGGUCCCGACUCCUACGGGAGGCAGCAGUAGGGAAUCUUCCGCAAUGGGCGAAAGCCUGACGGAGCAACGCCGCGUGAGUGAUGAAGGUCUUCGGAUCGUAAAACUCUGUUAUUAGGGAAGAACAUAUGUGUAAGUAACUGUGCACAUCUUGACGGUACCUAAUCAGAAAGCCACGGCUAACUACGUG